RNAcentral lists this ribosomal RNA (425 nucleotides) under uncultured bacterium. Its description in RNAcentral is "partial 16S ribosomal RNA". It matches the Rfam family "Bacterial small subunit ribosomal RNA", at positions 354 to 796 of the family's 1533-position model. The record is from RNAcentral.
GUGGGGAAUCUUAGACAAUGGGCGCAAGCCUGAUCUAGCCAUGCCGCGUGAGCGAUGAAGGCCUUAGGGUUGUAAAGCUCUUUCGUGGGGGAAGAUAAUGACUGUACCCCAAGAAGAAGCCCCGGCUAACUCCGUGCCAGCAGCCGCGGUAAUACGGAUGGGGCUAGCGUUGUUCGGAAUUACUGGGCGUAAAGCGCACGUAGGCGGACUGGAAAGUCAGGGGUGAAAUCCCGGGGCUCAACCCCGGAACUGCCUUUGAAACUCCCAGUCUUGAGUUCGAGAGAGGUGAGUGGAAUUCCGAGUGUAGAGGUGAAAUUCGUAGAUAUUCGGAGGAACACCAGUGGCGAAGGCGGCUCACUGGCUCGAUACUGACGCUGAGGUGCGAAAGCGUGGGGAGCAAACAGUAUUAGAUACCCUGGUAGUCC